AGUUUGAUCAUGGCUCAGAUUGAACGCUGGCGGCAUGCCUUACACAUGCAAGUCGAACGGUAACGGGCCUUCGGGUGCCGACGAGUGGCGAACGGGUGAGUAAUGCAUCGGAACGUACCUUCAGUGGGGGAUAACGUAGCGAAAGUUACGCUGAUACCGCAUAUUCUGUGAGCAGGAAAGCAGGGGAUCGCAAGACCUUGCGCUGAUUGAGCGGCCGAUGUCAGAUUAGCUAGUUGGUGAGGUAAAGGCUCACCAAGGCGACGAUCUGUAGCGGGUCUGAGAGGAUGAUCCGCCACACUGGAACUGAGACACGGUCCAGACUCCUACGGGAGGCAGCAGUGGGGAAUUUUGGACAAUGGGGGCAACCCUGAUCCAGCCAUGCCGCGUGAGUGAAGAAGGCCUUCGGGUUGUAAAGCUCUUUCGGCCGGGAAGAAAUCGCAUGGGUUAAUACCCUGUGCGGAUGACGGUACCGGCAUAAGAAGCACCGGCUAACUACGUG
This 499-nucleotide ribosomal RNA is filed under the name uncultured bacterium. RNAcentral's name for it is "bacterial SSU rRNA". It matches the Rfam family "Bacterial small subunit ribosomal RNA", at positions 10 to 507 of the family's 1533-position model. The record is from RNAcentral.